RNAcentral lists this transfer RNA (540 nucleotides) under uncultured cyanobacterium. Its description in RNAcentral is "partial 16S-23S ribosomal RNA intergenic spacer". The stretch from base 211 to 283 matches the Rfam family "tRNA". Lineage: Bacteria; Bacillati; Cyanobacteriota. The record is from RNAcentral.
CAGGGAGACAACAAAAUGUUUAAUAUUAUUAUUUUGUCACCUUAGGUCGAUCGGUAUCUCACAUUCUUAAUUCUUAAGGAUUUCAUUUCCUAAGUUUUUCUAGGUCACACCCAUUAUUUUUCCUGGGCCAUUAGCUCAGGUGGUUAGAGCGCACCCCUGAUAAGGGUGAGGUCCCUGGUUCAAGUCCAGGAUGGCCCAUAUCUCUAUGUUGGGGGUAUAGCUCAGUUGGUAGAGCGCCUGCUUUGCAAGCAGGAUGUCAGCGGUUCGAGUCCGCUUACCUCCACUGAUUACCACCUCUUCCAUAAUCUUUAGAAGGGAAAUGUUUUGAGUUGUGAUCAAAUCCUGAACGAAUCUAGCUUCCUAAUGUAAUCAUUAAGAUGCUGGAUUCAUUGAAUUAUUUUCAUUGUUUUCAGAGAACCUUGACAACUGCAUAGAUUAUUUUUAAAGACAAUAAGCAUCUUUAAUGAUGCAGAUUUAUUAUUUGUGCGAAUGCAUUAAUAACAAUUCUAUUAAGCUGAUGCUUCAAUUAUUGAAGUUAUU